This 77-nucleotide transfer RNA is filed under the name Pasteurella multocida. RNAcentral describes it as "tRNA-Lys". It matches the Rfam family "tRNA". From Rfam's summary of the family: Transfer RNA (tRNA) molecules are approximately 80 nucleotides in length. Their secondary structure includes four short double-helical elements and three loops (D, anti-codon, and T loops). Lineage: Bacteria; Pseudomonadati; Pseudomonadota; Gammaproteobacteria; Pasteurellales; Pasteurellaceae. The record is from RNAcentral.
UGGUGGUGUAGCUCAAUUGGUAGAGCGGCAGAUUUUUAAUCUGUGCGUUACUGGUUCGAAUCCAGUCACCAUAGCCA